Molecule: ribosomal RNA, 114 nt
Filed under: Clostridiales bacterium
Lineage: Bacteria; Bacillati; Bacillota; Clostridia; Eubacteriales
Description: partial 16S ribosomal RNA
Rfam family: Bacterial small subunit ribosomal RNA
Source: RNAcentral
UUAAACACAAGAGUUUGAUCCUGGCUCAGGACAAACGCUGGCGGCGUGCCUAACACAUGCAAGUCGAGCGGAGAUACCUGACGAGUAAUCAGAGGGUAUUUUAGCGGCGGACGG